Molecule: ribosomal RNA, 402 nt
Rfam family: Bacterial small subunit ribosomal RNA
UGGGGAAUAUUGCACAAUGGGCGAAAGCCUGAUGCAGCGACGCCGCGUGAGGGAAGAAGGUCUUCGGAUUGUAAACCUCUGUCUUUGGGGACGAUAAUGACGGUACCCAAGGAGGAAGCACCGGCUAACUACGUGCCAGCAGCCGCGGUAAAACGUAGGGUGCAAGCGUUGUCCGGAAUUACUGGGUGUAAAGGGAGCGCAGGCGGAAAGGUAAGUUGGAAGUGAAAACUAUGGGCUCAACCCAUAACGUGCUUUCAAAACUAUUUUUCUUGAGUGGUGUAGAGGUAGGCGGAAUUCCCGGUGUAGCGGUGGAAUGCGUAGAUAUCGGGAGGAACACCAGUGGCGAAGGCGGCCUACUGGGCACUAACUGACGCUGAGGCUCGAAAGCAUGGGGAGCAAACA